This 652-nucleotide ribosomal RNA is filed under the name uncultured bacterium. Its description in RNAcentral is "bacterial SSU rRNA". It matches the Rfam family "Bacterial small subunit ribosomal RNA", at positions 97 to 780 of the family's 1533-position model. The record is from RNAcentral.
GGCGGACGGGUGAGUAACGCGUAGGUAUCUAUCCUUGGGUGGGGGACAACUGUGGGAAACUACAGCUAAUACCGCAUGAUGACCGAGGUCCAAAGCUCGCGAGAGCGCCUGAGGAGGAGCCUGCGUACGAUUAGCUAGUUGGUGGGGUAAAGGCCUACCAAGGCGACGAUCGUUAGCUGGUCUGAGAGGAUGAUCAGCCACAUUGGGACUGAGACACGGCCCAAACUCCUACGGGAGGCAGCAGUGGGGAACAUUGGACAAUGGGCGCAAGCCUGAUCCAGCAAUGCCGCGUGUGUGAAGAAGGUCUUCGGAUUGUAAAGCACUUUCGACGGGGACGAUGAUGACGGUACCCGUAGAAGAAGCCCCGGCUAACUUCGUGCCAGCAGCCGCGGUAAUACGAAGGGGGCUAGCGUUGCUCGGAAUGACUGGGCGUAAAGGGCGCGUAGGCGGAUGGCACAGUCAGAUGUGAAAUUCCCGGGCUUAACCUGGGGGCUGCAUUUGAUACGUGUGAUCUGGAGUGAGGAAGAGGGUCGUGGAAUUCCCAGUGUAGAGGUGAAAUUCGUAGAUAUUGGGAAGAACACCGGUGGCGAAGGCGGCGACCUGGUCCUUGACUGACGCUGAGGCGCGAAAGCGUGGGGAGCAAACAGGAUUA